AGUUUGAUCCUGGCUCAGAUUGAACGCUGGCGGCAUGCCUUACACAUGCAAGUCGAACGGUAACGGGCCUUCGGGUGCCGACGAGUGGCGAACGGGUGAGUAAUACAUCGGAACGUGCCCGAGAGUGGGGGAUAACGAGGCGAAAGCUUUGCUAAUACCGCAUACGAUCUCAGGAUGAAAGCAGGGGACCUUCGGGCCUUGCGCUCACGGAGCGGCCGAUGGCAGAUUAGGUAGUUGGUGGGAUAAGAGCUUACCAAGCCUGCGAUCUGUAGCUGGUCUGAGAGGAUGAUCAGCCACACUGGGACUGAGACACGGCCCAGACUCCUACGGGAGGCAGCAGUGGGGAAUUUUGGACAAUGGGGGCAACCCUGAUCCAGCCAUGCCGCGUGCAGGAUGAAGGCCUUCGGGUUGUAAACUGCUUUUGUACGGAACGAAAAGUCUCUGGUUAAUACCUGGGGAUCAUGACGGUACCGUAAGAAUAAGCACCGGCUAACUACGUG
This 500-nucleotide ribosomal RNA is filed under the name uncultured Comamonadaceae bacterium. RNAcentral describes it as "bacterial SSU rRNA". It matches the Rfam family "Bacterial small subunit ribosomal RNA", at positions 10 to 507 of the family's 1533-position model. The record is from RNAcentral. Lineage: Bacteria; Pseudomonadati; Pseudomonadota; Betaproteobacteria; Burkholderiales; Comamonadaceae.